This 441-nucleotide RNase P RNA is filed under the name Burkholderiaceae bacterium. Its description in RNAcentral is "RNase P RNA component class A". It matches the Rfam family "Bacterial RNase P class A". Rfam says of the family: Ribonuclease P (RNase P) is a ubiquitous endoribonuclease, found in archaea, bacteria and eukarya as well as chloroplasts and mitochondria. Lineage: Bacteria; Pseudomonadati; Pseudomonadota; Betaproteobacteria; Burkholderiales; Burkholderiaceae. The record is from RNAcentral.
GAAGCGGGCCAGACCGCCGCUGGUGCAAGACCCGAAAGGGUGCACUGGAGGAAGGUCCGGACUGCACAGGGCGGCGCAGCAGCUAACGGCUGUCCGGCGUGAGCCGAGGAUCAGAGCAACAGAGACGAGUCGGGGCGGACCCGCCUGGGUGUUUCAGCGAGGCGCCGGCGCAAGCCGGCGACCGGGUGGCGCAAGCCAUCCGGCCACGGCGUCAGCCGUGGACCGAGCAGCCACCCGGAGCGGCAAAGCCGCUCCGGGUGAAACGGGCAAUCUCUGCGCGCAGCAACACCAAAUAGGCCGGCGAUGAUGCGGCCCGCGGAGCCGGCGGGUAGGUGGCACCGAGCCGCGCAGCGAUGCGCGGCCCAGAGGAAUGGCGGUCACGGCGGCGCCUUCGCAAGAAGGCACGCCGCACAGAAUCCGGCCUAUCGGCCCGCUUCACAC